UGGUCUCUCCAACCUGGAUUAUAUGUAUUGGAAUAUGGAUCAUAUCUAGGUUGGUUGUUGUAUCUCCCAAUUGCAUUGACUUGCUGAUUGUCUUUUUGGAGGGUAGGACAUUGAUCAGUGGGGUGUCCUACGUAUAAGCAGAUCCCACAUGGCCUAGGAGGCUGGGGUGCUUGAAUCUGUUGCACAACAUCUACCACAAUAUUUUUCAUAACAGAUGUUAGUUCAGACAUGGUGGGAAAACUUACCUCAUUGGCCCUUUGUAGUUGCCUUUCUUCUCCAUACUGCCUAGAUG
Molecule: long non-coding RNA, 292 nt
Filed under: Manihot esculenta (cassava)
Lineage: Eukaryota; Viridiplantae; Streptophyta; Magnoliopsida; Malpighiales; Euphorbiaceae
Description: long non-coding RNA (MESC_LNC012695)
Source: RNAcentral